This 75-nucleotide transfer RNA is filed under the name Acidiferrimicrobium australe. RNAcentral describes it as "Acidimicrobiaceae bacterium USS-CCA1 tRNA-Arg". It matches the Rfam family "tRNA". Rfam says of the family: Transfer RNA (tRNA) molecules are approximately 80 nucleotides in length. Their secondary structure includes four short double-helical elements and three loops (D, anti-codon, and T loops). The record is from RNAcentral. Lineage: Bacteria; Bacillati; Actinomycetota; Acidimicrobiia; Acidimicrobiales; Acidimicrobiaceae.
GCCCCCGUCGCUUAAGGGAUAGAGCAGCUCUCUCCUAAAGAGCAGAUGCAGGUUCGAGUCCUGCCGGGGGCACCA